Molecule: ribosomal RNA, 170 nt
Filed under: uncultured Clostridium sp.
Lineage: Bacteria; Bacillati; Bacillota; Clostridia; Eubacteriales; Clostridiaceae
Description: partial 16S ribosomal RNA
Rfam family: Bacterial small subunit ribosomal RNA
Source: RNAcentral
UCUCCUACGGGAGGCAGCAGUGGGGGAUAUUGCACAAUGGGGGAAACCCUGAUGCAGCGACGCCGCGUGAGUGAAGAAGUAUUUCGGUAUGUAAAGCUCUAUCAGCAGGAAAGAUAAUGACGGUACCUGACUAAGAAGCACCGGCUAAAUACGUGCCAGCCGCCGCGGUA